CAAUCUCGUUAACAACCGACCGUUGCGGUAAGCGCGAGCGGACGUGUGGUUCGUCAAAUCGCCGGAUCGAGCAGAACAUAUCCUGGAAAACGGCAGUCGAUCCUUGGCCGGUAUCCAUUUCGUGCCUGGAAGUGUCUCGAACCGUAACGAUCCUUGCACGGCCGUCGAAAUAAUUCGUCACCGAGCGAUACGAUCCGCUUUACAAGAGCCUACCGGAGGAUAAGAUAUAUCGCCGGAAACAAUUCCACUAAUUGCGGAUCGGCAUUUCUGUCCACAUGAGCAAUUCGGCGAGAUUCGCACGGCAGACCGGCGUUCUGUUGGUCCUCUUUAUCGGCUGCCUCGCGGCAUUGUCCUCGCGCCCGUUGAAGAAGUUCGCGCAACCGACCUUCUACGACGCGUUGUUCUUUUAUCCGCAACGAGAAGUCCAGAGGCGAAUUCAGCCUAAGACUAUUCUCGAUCCUCCGACUUUCGGAUGCCUACCAAACCAGAAGAAGGAUCAGCUUGGACGGUGCAGAGACAGCAUACGCCCAAUAACAGAUGAUUCUUACUACGAGAUAUAGCAACUUUUAGGGAAACAUUUCUUUUCCUUUUAAGUGACUUAAUAUUAGGCGUGAUUUCAUUGGAAACAAGAUCUGAGACAGCGAGACAGUUUUUAUCGAGAUUCACAGUUUUUAUUUGUUGGAUUCUUCGAAAUUGUAAAAUUCCACGUUACGGGGGCUAUUCCGUAUCUUUCGUGAAAAUAAUGAGGCGCGAAACGCAAUAAAUACCAGAAAUUUACGGUCAUCAGGCAAUUUGGAUAUCAUACGGAGAUCUUUCGGCAGAUCAUGAUGUUAUUUUUCUUUAUGUUACUUCUAGUGUAUGACAAAAUCGUUAGGUGUGUGCUUCCGCCGGAAAGAUGACUAUCGAAAAUAACAAGCCAGAAGUGGACAAAUAAUCUGCGGUUUCUCCAAUUAUUUCGCGAUUUUCAAGACUCUCUGAGAUUUACAAGAACCAAAUGUUGGUGGAAUUUGUAUACACGUUUCCAUGUUACGUGGAUUUUUACGAGAAAAAUACGGUUUUAUUGCGUUACUCGAAACAUGUAAGAAGUAGAAUUUUAUUCUAUCUCGUCUCUCUGCAAUUCCCGAUUGUAAAAAUAUGAAUUUUUCUGGUCGUUAUUCACUUUUAAUCGCUUCUUUACGAGCUCGCUUAACGUACGAUGAUUUUUUAAAAAAUUAUGGAUAUACUGGUGUCAUGAUAAACUACAAAUUAAAAGUGCGUUAAUUUAAUUCUAGAUGAAUAAUCUAUUGUAAUUUGUUCUUUACUGAAGACUGAAAUAGAAAUAUUACAUUGGGGUUGAUCAUGACUAGACUGCGGACUUUUAUGCAAAAUAGGAGUCGUCCGCAUCAAUCGCGAAAAAUAAAAACCCGAAUAGGAAGUUCUUUCGUUAAUCAUUUUAAUAAGUUAAAAAUAAUACAUUGACAUUUCUAAAUUCUCUAAAUCUGUCUACUAUUUUAAAUUGCAUCUACUAAAUUUUGCCGUAAGUGCAUAAAAUCCGCAGUCUGCUCGUGAUCCCAGCAUAUCACUUAAGGGUUAAAACGAAUACACGCACUCAAAUUGAUUAUUUCUCGUUGAUGCAGCCAUCGUUUAUUAAUACUUUCACGAAAGAUGAAAUUGUGACUGUGAAAUUAUUACUAAUUCUCAUAAAUUCAACGCACCAGCAGAUUUAUACUGUAAACAAUUUAAAAAGCUUAACCGAAUCUCUCCUUUAUAUAUUAUUAGUAAAAUCAUCGCUUAAUAAAACUUCUAUUUUAUUUCAAGCCCAAUCGAAUUUUUAACGACGCUUCCCUUCCCGAUUUCAGACACAAAAAAAAUUAAUCCAUGGACACUUAUGUUUACACAACGAUCCCCGAUCACGUAACAAACGCACCAGCAGAUUUAUACUGUAAACAAUUUAAAAAGCUUAACCGAAUCUCUCCUUUAUAUAUAUUAUUAGUAAAAUCAUCGCUUAACAAAACUUCCAUUUUAUUUCAAGCCCAAUCGAAUUUUUAACGACGCUUCCCUUCCCAAUUUCAGACACAACAAAAAUUAAUCCCUGAACACUUAUGUUUACACAACGAUCCCCGAUACGUAACAAACACACCAGCAGAUUUAUACUGUAAACAAUUUAAAAAGCUUAACCGAAUCUCUCCUUUACAUAUAUUAUUAGUAAAAUCAUCGCUUAAUAAAACUUCUAUUUUAUUUCAAGCCCAAUCGAAUUUUUAACGACGCUUCCCUUCCCGAUUUCAGACACAAAAAAAAUUAAUCCAUGGACACUUAUGUUUACACAACGAUCCCCGAUCACGUAACAAACGCACCAGCAGAUUUAUACUGUAAACAAUUUAAAAAGCUUAACCGAAUCUCUCCUUUAUAUAUAUUAUUAGUAAAAUCAUCGCUUAA
Molecule: long non-coding RNA, 2415 nt
Organism: Megalopta genalis
Lineage: Eukaryota; Metazoa; Arthropoda; Insecta; Hymenoptera; Halictidae
Source: RefSeq, a predicted model, not a curated record